UUUAUUUUUCUAAAAAAUAUAUGACCCAUUUGAUAUCUGUUAUCUUCAGAUAUUAAACUUCACCCAAGAAAGCAUAUGGAUUCUUCUUUCAACAUUUAACUCACAGCAUACUUGACAAUAUAUUAAAGACCAACAAGAAGUUAGCAACAAAUAAUCUCAAUCAACCAAAUGAAGCCAAACACUUUUAAAUUCAAAAACAACUUGAGAUAAAAUCAGAUAUUCAUAAGCAUCCGAGAUGAACAAGAAAGGGAGACAAAUUUAGACCUUUCAUAGCUUUCACAUUAUCACGGAAUUUCCUGCCUGUCUAUAAAGAAAAUCAGGCUGACGUAGCUAAACACGAACGGAUGAGACAAAUUUAGACCUUUUGUAGCUUUCAAAUUAUCAGGGAGCUUCCUGCCUGUCUAUAAAGAAAAUCAGGCCGACGAAGCUAAAUACGAACGGACCCGUUAACAAAGACCACUUCAGAACCUCGAUUUUGCCUGAAAACAUCGAACUACGACCUCAAACGACAUCAACACCUCAAUUUCGAUAUCAGCAAUUUCGACGACUAUCGUCAGUUUUCUAUUCGUUCGACGUCUAUGGUGCAACUCCGGCGAAAUAGUGACAAUAGAAGGAGAAGAAAGGACAGGAACAACAGUUAGACACAGGGUUACAGUCACGGCCCUCGCGAAACCCCGCCGGAUUUGGCCAUCUUGACGGCGAGAAAGAAGUUGACGGGAGCCAAACGAGGGGGAGAGGGGGAUGAUUUUCAGAGAUUUGUUCUUUUUUUUUCUUGUUUUUAUGUGUGUGUUGCUGGUGUUCAGAAAUGGAAGGAUCGUGGCUGGUUCGUGUUGUUAGAGGAAGAAAGUAGCUGAUGCUUUUGUGAUUUCGAUCAAUAGCAGUAGCUCAUGGGGUCAUUUGUGGCUAGGGAGAAGCCAUGGAAUUUUGGCUCUCUUCUCUGAAGAAGAUGAUCCAAACGAGGGGGGAGGGUCUGUAUUGUGCGUAGCUUUUCCUUCAUGCAACAUAGUGGUCUUUCAAAAAUAUGUGAAAAUCUCUUCUUGGUCCUUAAGUCUGAGUUAGGUUAAGUAGAGCUAGGGCUAUUUUAAAGGUAGGGAAUGAAUAUUGGG
RNAcentral lists this long non-coding RNA (1106 nucleotides) under Nicotiana benthamiana. RNAcentral describes it as "long non-coding RNA (NBEN_LNC008668)". The record is from RNAcentral. Lineage: Eukaryota; Viridiplantae; Streptophyta; Magnoliopsida; Solanales; Solanaceae.